GUCUUCCAACUUGAGCAUGCAUCUGAAUCCCCUGAAGGCUCACCCCGAGAUUCUGACGUUUGGGGUGACGUCCUAGGAUUUGCAUUUCCGACCAGGUGAUGAGAAUGAUGGCGUGGGACCACAUGUUAAGAACUUAGACAGGUGAAGGACAAUUACCUGUAAAGAAGGCUGGUAGAAGAUUUUGGAGGCUUGGUAAAUUUCUGGCGCAUGCAUGUGUGCAUGCUCAGUCACCUCAGUUGUGUCUGACUCUGAGAUCCAUGGACUGUAGCGUACCAGCCUCCUCUGUUCUUUGGAUUCUCCAGGCAAGAAUACUAGCAUGGGUUGCCAUGCCCUCCUCUAGGGGAUCUUCCUGACCCAGGGAUCGAACCCCCAUCUCCUGCAUCUCCUGCACUGCAGGCAGAUUCUUUAACCCACCGAGCCACCUGGGAACCAAACAUCUGGUACCUGUCUUUUUUUGCAGCCCCCUUAAGAAGAGCAUUUCACAAGAGACUUCAGUCUCUGAAAAGAUUCUCAGGAAACUGGGUUGGCUCUAAGGUAACCAAAGCACAGGCCCCCAUGGGAAUCAAAGGCAGCACCUGGUGGCUUGUUAAUGGGUUGCUAGGCAACGGAACAAAGGUGAGGGCAAGGGCAGGAUAGGCAGGUGGUGGGGAUUUUCGAGUGAGACUAAGGCAUUCGGAGGGUAGACAUCUAUCAGAAGGCCAGGGAAGCCAGAUGAAGGAAUCCCCUCCAUCUUGCCUUGGUUUGCACGUGGACGGGCCCACCAUCCCUGUGCGGAGAUGUGGAUGCAGUAACUUAGCCUCUAAUGGGAUCGGGGAAUAUUUUUCUCAGAAGAACCACUGAGAACCCACGAGGGACGUUUCUUAAUGAGUGAUAGGGACAUGGUCAGCAGUUUGCCCGGAUCUCACAAUUGGCAAGAGUGGAGCUGAGACCUCCAAACCCUCAUCUGUUCCACAGGUUCCCUCCCACCCCCUCCACAUCUCGGAGCAAAGCAGAGGGUCAUUGUUCAGACUUAGCAGAGGCUGGGGAGCGCACAGUGGGUGCUCUGAAAGCCGGAGCUAACCCCCGCUCAGAAACCUCGGCCUCGUGACCUGCUGUCCACUCUCCCGCCUGAGUUGUCCUCGCCUGGAGCAACAAAUGCAGCAACAAGGAACCUGCACCCAGAGCUUCCUGGGGACACAGCCCCGAGCGGGGCGCAGGCCCUGUCCGGCUGCCAUCACCACCUACGCGAUCGCACUCAGUCAUCACAGGCCCGGGCCUCAGACUGCGUGUCACUUUCCAGGCCCUCCUCCCACAAAAAUUCUAGCCUCCCAGCCUCCAGGGCGCUUAGUUCACCCCAUAAACUCGACUAAUGCUUACCACAUGCGGCGGAGCUCCGCCGACCGCGCCCACCUCGCUUUGGCUCAGAAUCAGCAGGAGACCCUCCCUCUAGAGGACCCUCCCCUGGGGGACCCUUGCUUUAGGAGACCAUCUUCACGCAGGGACCCUCCCCCUAGCGGACCCUCCCCCUGGGAGAUCCUUCUCCUAGUGAACCC
Long non-coding RNA from Bos taurus (domestic cattle), 1532 nucleotides. NCBI's taxonomy places the organism in Eukaryota, Metazoa, Chordata, Mammalia, Artiodactyla, Bovidae. The record is from Ensembl.